Long non-coding RNA from Zalophus californianus (California sea lion), 1196 nucleotides. RefSeq lists it as uncharacterized. NCBI's taxonomy places the organism in Eukaryota, Metazoa, Chordata, Mammalia, Carnivora, Otariidae. The record is from RefSeq and is a predicted model, not a curated record. The transcript has 3 exons.
CAUGAGAUGGAGACCUGAGCUGAGAUCAAGAGUUAUGAAGCUUAUCAACUGAGCCACCCAGAUGCCAACACUUGAAAAUGGUAUUUUAGGAAAGUGAGUAUGAUAUGUGGAAUGGAUUGGAUGAGGCAAGAAACUAGAGGCAAGAAGAGAACAACCGCUAUUGCUGUAAUCACUCCCAAGACACCCACAAGUUACAAGUGGAUACUGAAAAUACAACCACAUUGUGUAAGCACACACAGAAGUGUAUAUGCAGAGAAGGGGGAAAAGCAGUUCUCAUGCUCAUCUAAGAAGACAAGUUCCUUGGACCAUUUGAAGAAUCCACCUGAAGAAUAAAUCUCUUACAGUUUUAAGCUCACUACAAUUUCUGCUCAUGCAAUGGCCAUUAAUGCCUAUUAAGUGCCAGGCACUAUAAUAAGCAAUGAGGAUACAGAAAUAAUUAAGUCCCAGUUGCUGGCCCUGGAGGCUCUCUGUCGGGGAAGUCAGAAAUGUAAAUGUUUAUGAAUCUAAUGAACUGAGUGCUAUAGAAACAUAGAAGUGUUUAAUAUAUAAACAAAAAAUUUCUAAUCUAUCUAAAUGUUAAUGUCUUACUUUCAGUUUCAAACUGUCAAAAAACUUUUUCAAACUAAAUGUCAAAUAUUGAAGGAAAAAAACUAACAGUAUUCUAAAAGUAAAUACAUAGAAUAAAACAUUCUUGAGAGUUAACACUUUUAAAUUUGUACUAUGCUGUCUCUGGUAAGUCAUGUGGGGAGAGUUACUUAAAAGUUUACUUCCACUUGCAAAGUUAGUUAGAAUCAAAGUAUGUUUGGAUAGAUACCCAUCAAAGGAUGGAUAAGAAACUAAACCAGUCGCAAAUGUAAAAACAGAAAAUAUUUCUUAUCACUCUAGGUUUGAAAGACACAUUAAACAUACAGCACUAUUUAUAUAAACUUACUAAGAUAUUUUAAAAACCUACAAGCCAACCACAAGAUACCUUUCACCCCGCUAGGAUGGCUAUAAUCAAAAAGAAGACAAGUGUUAGUGAAGAUGUAGAGAAAUUGGUGGGAAUGUAAAAUGUGAACUCCAGUCUAGCAGUUGCUCAAAAAGUUCAAUGGUUACCGUAUCACUCAUUAAUUCUACUCCUAGGUAUAUACCCAAGAUAAAGGAAAACAUAUAUCCUAACAAAAACGUGCACAUAAAUGUUCAUAGUAGCAUUAUUC